Molecule: ribosomal RNA, 1066 nt
Filed under: Salmonella enterica subsp. enterica serovar Anatum
Lineage: Bacteria; Pseudomonadati; Pseudomonadota; Gammaproteobacteria; Enterobacterales; Enterobacteriaceae
Description: partial 23S ribosomal RNA
Rfam family: Bacterial large subunit ribosomal RNA
Source: RNAcentral
GUGACUGCGUACCUUUUGUAUAAUGGGUCAGCGACUUAUAUUCUGUAGCAAGGUUAACCGAAUAGGGGAGCCGGAGGGAAACCGAGUCUUAAUUGGGCGUUAAGUUGCAGGGUAUAGACCCGAAACCCGGUGAUCUAGCCAUGGGCAGGUUGAAGGUUGGGUAACACUAACUGGAGGACCGAACCGACUAAUGUUGAAAAAUUAGCGGAUGACCUGUGGCUGGGGGUGAAAGGCCAAUCAAACCGGGAGAUAGCUGGUUCUCCCCGAAAGCUAUUUAGGUAGCGCCUCGUGAAUUCAUCUCCGGGGGUAGAGCACUGUUUCGGCUAGGGGGCCAUCCCGGCUUACCAACCCGAUGCAAACUGCGAAUACCGGAGAAUGUUAUCACGGGAGACACACGGCGGGUGCUAACGUCCGUCGUGAAGAGGGAAACAACCCAGACCGCCAGCUAAGGUCCCAAAGUCAUGGUUAAGUGGGAAACGAUGUGGGAAGGCCCAGACAGCCAGGAUGUUGGCUUAGAAGCAGCCAUCAUUUAAAGAAAGCGUAAUAGCUCACUGGUCGAGUCGGCCUGCGCGGAAGAUGUAACGGGGCUAAACCAUGCACCGAAGCUGCGGCAGCGACACUCAGGUGUUGUUGGGUAGGGGAGCGUUCUGUAAGCCUGUGAAGGUGGCCUGUGAGGGUUGCUGGAGGUAUCAGAAGUGCGAAUGCUGACAUAAGUAACGAUAAAGCGGGUGAAAAGCCCGCUCGCCGGAAGACCAAGGGUUCCUGUCCAACGUUAAUCGGGGCAGGGUGAGUCGACCCCUAAGGCGAGGCCGAAAGGCGUAGUCGAUGGGAAACGGGUUAAUAUUCCCGUACUUGGUGUUACUGCGAAGGGGGGACGGAGAAGGCUAUGUUGGCCGGGCGACGGUUGUCCCGGUUUAAGCGUGUAGGCUGGUUUUCCAGGUAAAUCCGGAACAUCAACUGAGGCGUGAUGACGAGGCACUACGGUGCUGAAGCAACAAAUGCCCUGCUUCCAGGAAAAGCCUCUAAGCAUCAGGUAACAUCAAAUCGUACCCCAAACCGACACAGG